This 1048-nucleotide long non-coding RNA is filed under the name Dasypus novemcinctus (nine-banded armadillo). RNAcentral's name for it is "lncRNA (ENSDNOG00000052649.1)". The record is from RNAcentral. Lineage: Eukaryota; Metazoa; Chordata; Mammalia; Cingulata; Dasypodidae.
GAUCGCAGGCUGGAGCGGCCUCAGAGCAAUUUUAAAUGGAAACGGAAGCAGCUGCCACGCCUCGGAGCGUCUCUCGGUGGCUCUGGAGCUCACCGCGGGAGUCCGGAGCGACUCACGGACUCCGGGGCUGCAGGUCGCGGGACUAAGAAGCGCUAGGUUGAAACCCGAAAGAGGCAAAUCCACUCGCCCACAGCCCUCCCCCACUUCGCUAGGUAAAAGAUUAGAGUUGUGCGGAUCUCUUACCCUGGAAGCUGAGCUGUUUUCCUGUCACAACUUGAAAACGACUUUACUCAGAAGGCUUUCACGGGCAGGUCGCGCAAGCAAGACAGGUCGGCGCACCUCAGAGGUCGGCGCGCCUCCGAAGGCGGAGCGCCUGCCGGGACUCCCGGAAUUAGAAUUGAGUUCAUGCCGUUUAAUUCAGCAACGAGUGGGGUCAUCUGUGCAGGGGACGGAACCAGAAUGUGUCACGCGCACCUCUGCCCAUGCGGAAUGUACACUUUCAGACCGACUCCCGUCAUUUCCAUCGUUUCCAUUUCUUUUCCGCGCUCACCCGGGACACAGGAAGACCAAGAUCUGGGGUGUGAGAGGUGGAGGGUAAAGCACGUGAUUAUUUAGGUCUGCAAACUAUUACCAAACAAAAUAAAAAAGCAGUAAUACUGUUAAAAUGACUAUAAAUGGGGUUGUCCUUUAUACUUGUUAAUCUAUUCCACGCUUGAGAUGGACGGUAAACUCAAAUGCUUGGUGACAUAAUUUGGACUAAUUUCUAAAUAUAGUGUAAUUUCAAAUUCACUUUGUAUUAAUUUCAAAAGUAAUGAGAAAGUUUUUAUUUUAAAAUUGAGAUAUCUUUUAGCUUUUUUGCUGUUUUCUAUUUCUGAAUGUUCUGUCAACACUGGUUUUGUGAUAUUUAGAGGGGCAUUUGAUAGGGAUGCCUAGUAUAUGAAUGCUGAAGAAAGUAAAAUUUGUGAAAUUUUCAAAUGGCCUCAUUUCUACUCACUAAUUUUUUAAGCUUUAUUUCAACUUCAAAAAAUAAAAUAACAAAUGGCAGCUA